GCGGUCAUGGCGGAAUUGGCAGACGCGCACGGUUCAGGUCCGUGUGGGGGCAACCCCGUGGAGGUUCAAGUCCUCUUGACCGCACCA
This 87-nucleotide transfer RNA is filed under the name Bacilli bacterium. Its description in RNAcentral is "tRNA-Leu". It matches the Rfam family "tRNA". From Rfam's summary of the family: Transfer RNA (tRNA) molecules are approximately 80 nucleotides in length. The record is from RNAcentral. Lineage: Bacteria; Bacillati; Bacillota; Bacilli.